GGGUUGUGAGGUUAAGCGACUAAGCGUACACGGUGGAUGCCCUGGCAGUCAGAGGCGAUGAAGGACGUGCUAAUCUGCGAUAAGCGUCGGUGAGGUGAUAUGAACCGUUAUAACCGGCGAUUUCCGAAUGGGGAAACCCAGUGUGUUUCGACACACUAUCAUUAACUGAAUCCAUAGGUUAAUGAGGCGAACCGGGGGAACUGAAACAUCUAAGUACCCCGAGGAAAAGAAAUCAACCGAGAUUCCCCCAGUAGCGGCGAGCGAACGGGGAGGAGCCCAGAGCCUGAAUCAGUGUGUGUGUUAGUGGAAGCGUCUGGAAAGGCGCGCGAUACAGGGUGACAGCCCCGUACACAAAAAUGCACAUAUUGUGAGCUCGAUGAGUAGGGCGGGACACGUGGUAUCCUGUCUGAAUAUGGGGGGACCAUCCUCCAAGGCUAAAUACUCCUGACUGACCGAUAGUGAACCAGUACCGUGAGGGAAAGGCGAAAAGAACCCCGGCGAGGGGAGUGAAAAAGAACCUGAAACCGUGUACGUACAAGCAGUGGGAGCCUCUUAAUGGGGUGACUGCGUACCUUUUGUAUAAUGGGUCAGCGACUUAUAUUCUGUAGCAAGGUUAACCGAAUAGGGGAGCCGAAGGGAAACCGAGUCUUAACUGGGCGUUAAGUUGCAGGGUAUAGACCCGAAACCCGGUGAUCUAGCCAUGGGCAGGUUGAAGGUUGGGUAACACUAACUGGAGGACCGAACCGACUAAUGUUGAAAAAUUAGCGGAUGACUUGUGGCUGGGGGUGAAAGGCCAAUCAAACCGGGAGAUAGCUGGUUCUCCCCGAAAGCUAUUUAGGUAGCGCCUCGUGAAUUCAUCUCCGGGGGUAGAGCACUGUUUCGGCAAGGGGGUCAUCCCGACUUACCAACCCGAUGCAAACUGCGAAUACCGGAGAAUGUUAUCACGGGAGACACACGGCGGGUGCUAACGUCCGUCGUGAAGAGGGAAACAACCCAGACCGCCAGCUAAGGUCCCAAAGUCAUGGUUAAGUGGGAAACGAUGUGGGAAGGCCCAGACAGCCAGGAUGUUGGCUUAGAAGCAGCCAUCAUUUAAAGAAAGCGUAAUAGCUCACUGGUCGAGUCGGCCUGCGCGGAAGAUGUAACGGGGCUAAACCAUGCACCGAAGCUGCGGCAGCGACACUAUGUGUUGUUGGGUAGGGGAGCGUUCUGUAAGCCUGUGAAGGUGGCCUGUGAGGGUUGCUGGAGGUAUCAGAAGUGCGAAUGCUGACAUAAGUAACGAUAAAGCGGGUGAAAAGCCCGCUCGCCGGAAGACCAAGGGUUCCUGUCCAACGUUAAUCGGGGCAGGGUGAGUCGACCCCUAAGGCGAGGCCGAAAGGCGUAGUCGAUGGGAAACAGGUUAAUAUUCCUGUACUUGGUGUUACUGCGAAGGGGGGACGGAGAAGGCUAUGUUGGCCGGGCGACGGUUGUCCCGGUUUAAGCGUGUAGGCUGGUUUUCCAGGCAAAUCCGGAAAAUCAAGGCUGAGGCGUGAUGACGAGGCACUACGGUGCUGAAGCGACAAAUGCCCUGCUUCCAGGAAAAGCCUCUAAGCAUCAGGUAACAUCAAAUCGUACCCCAAACCGACACAGGUGGUCAGGUAGAGAAUACCAAGGCGCUUGAGAGAACUCGGGUGAA
RNAcentral lists this ribosomal RNA (1672 nucleotides) under Escherichia coli. RNAcentral describes it as "partial 23S ribosomal RNA". It matches the Rfam family "Bacterial large subunit ribosomal RNA", at positions 1 to 1708 of the family's 2925-position model. The record is from RNAcentral. Lineage: Bacteria; Pseudomonadati; Pseudomonadota; Gammaproteobacteria; Enterobacterales; Enterobacteriaceae.